UCCAGACUCCUACGGGAGGCAGCAGUGGGGGAUAUUGCACAAUGGGGGGAACCCUGAUGCAGCGACGCCGCGUGGGUGAAGAAGCGCCUCGGCGCGUAAAGCCCUGUCAGCAGGGAAGAAAAUGACGGUACCUGAAGAAGAAGCCCCGGCUAACUACGUGCCAGCAGCCGCGGGAAUACGUAGGGGGCAAGCGUUAUCCGGAUUUACUGGGUGUAAAGGGGGCGCAGACGGCGAUUCAAGGCAGGAGUGAAAGGCAGGGGCCCAACCCCGGGACUGCUCUUGGAACUGGGUGGCUGGAGUGCAGGAGGGGUAAGCGGAAUUCCUGGUGUAGCGGUGAAAUGCGUAGAUAUCAGGAGGAACACCGGUGGCGAAGGCGGCCUGCUGGGCUGCAACUGACGUUGAGGCCCGAAAGCGUGGGGAGCAAACAGGAUUAGAUACCCCAGUAU
Molecule: ribosomal RNA, 446 nt
Filed under: uncultured bacterium
Lineage: Bacteria
Description: bacterial SSU rRNA
Rfam family: Bacterial small subunit ribosomal RNA
Source: RNAcentral